UACGGAGGAGGCAAGCGUUAUCCGGAAUUAUUGGGCGUAAAGCGUCCGCAGGUGGCGAUUCAAGUCUGCGGUCAAAGACUGGGGCUUAACCCUGGAAAGGCCGUGGAAACUGAAGAGCUAGAGUGCAGUAGGGGUAGAGGGAAUUCCCGGUGUAGCGGUGAAAUGCGUAGAGCUCGGGAAGAACAUCGGUGGCGAAAGCGCUCUGCUGGACUGCAACUGACACUCAGGGACGAAAGCUAGGGGAGCGAACGGG
Molecule: ribosomal RNA, 253 nt
Filed under: uncultured bacterium
Lineage: Bacteria
Description: partial 16S ribosomal RNA
Rfam family: Bacterial small subunit ribosomal RNA
Source: RNAcentral